This 199-nucleotide long non-coding RNA is filed under the name Ictidomys tridecemlineatus (thirteen-lined ground squirrel). RNAcentral's name for it is "lncRNA (ENSSTOG00000031121.1)". Lineage: Eukaryota; Metazoa; Chordata; Mammalia; Rodentia; Sciuridae. The record is from RNAcentral.
CAGCUCUUACAUCACUUGAGGAGUUAAUAGGAAUGCAGAGCUCCUGGUCUCUUCCUGGACCUGGAUUCAGCUGACUACCGUGCAUAUGGAAAAAUGAAAUUACUCACAGGAAGUCCUGUCUCUGCACAGAGCUGCUUCUGCUAAGAGGCAGACUCACUGCCAAUACUGAAAAGGGGAAGAACCACAGUCCUGGUAGGAG